CCUACGGGCGGCUGCAGUGGGGAAUAUUGGACAAUGGGCGAAAGCCUGAUCCAGCAAUGCCGCGUGAGUGAUGAAGGCCUUAGGGUUGUAAAGCUCUUUUACCAGGGAUGAUAAUGACGGUACCUGGAGAAUAAGCUCCGGCUAACUCCGUGCCAGCAGCCGCGGUAAUACGGAGGGAGCUAGCGUUGUUCGGAAUUACUGGGCGUAAAGCGCACGUAGGCGGUUUUGCAAGUCAGGGGUGAAAGCCCGGAGCUCAACAUCGGAAUUGCACUUGAAACUGGAUGACUAGAGGCUUGGAGAGGUCAGUGGAAUUCCGAGUGUAGAGGUGAAAUUCGUAGAUAUUCGGAAGAACACCAGUGGCGAAGGCGACUGACUGGACAAGUAUUGACGCUGAGGUGCGAAAGCGUGGGGAGCAAACAGGAUUAGAUACCCUAGUAGUC
RNAcentral lists this ribosomal RNA (440 nucleotides) under uncultured bacterium. RNAcentral's name for it is "partial 16S ribosomal RNA". It matches the Rfam family "Bacterial small subunit ribosomal RNA", at positions 338 to 795 of the family's 1533-position model. The record is from RNAcentral.